Molecule: ribosomal RNA, 388 nt
Filed under: uncultured bacterium
Lineage: Bacteria
Description: bacterial SSU rRNA
Rfam family: Bacterial small subunit ribosomal RNA
Source: RNAcentral
AUUGAACGCUGGCGGCAUGCCUUACACAUGCAAGUCGAACGGCAGCACGGGAGCAAUCCUGGUGGCGAGUGGCGAACGGGUGAAUAAUGUAUCGGAACGUACCUUUCAGUGGGGGAUAACGUAGCGAAAGUUACGCUAAUACCGCAUAUUCUGUGAGCAGGAAAGCAGGGGAUCGCAAGACCUUGCGCUGAUUGAGCGGCCGAUAUCAGAUUAGCUAGUUGGUGAGGUAAAGGCUCACCAAGGCGACGAUCUGUAGCGGGUCUGAGAGGAUGAUCCGCCACACUGGAACUGAGACACGGUCCAGACUCCUACGGGAGGCAGCAGUGGGGAAUUUUGGACAAUGGGCGCAAGCCUGAUCCAGCCAUGCCGCGUGAGUGAAGAAGGCCUC